This 295-nucleotide ribosomal RNA is filed under the name uncultured bacterium. RNAcentral describes it as "partial 16S ribosomal RNA". It matches the Rfam family "Bacterial small subunit ribosomal RNA", at positions 790 to 1084 of the family's 1533-position model. The record is from RNAcentral.
GUAGUCCACGCCGUAAACGAUGGCCACUAGAUGUGGGGGGUAUCGACCCCCUCCGCGUCGAAGCUAACGCGAUAAGUGGCCCGCCUGGGGAGUACGGCCGCAAGGCUAAAACUCAAAGGAAUUGACGGGGCCCGCACAAGCAGCGGAGCGUGUGGUUUAAUUCGAUGCGACGCGAAGAACCUUACCUGGGCUUGAACUUGUCGUGACCGCCGGUGAAAGCCGGUUUCCCUUCGGGGGCACGGUGAGAGGUGCUGCACGGCUGUCGUCAGCUCGUGCCGUGAGGUGUUGGGUUAAG